Molecule: small nuclear RNA, 305 nt
Filed under: Notechis scutatus (mainland tiger snake)
Lineage: Eukaryota; Metazoa; Chordata; Lepidosauria; Squamata; Elapidae
Description: 7SK RNA (ENSNSUG00000014690.1)
Rfam family: 7SK RNA
About the family: 7SK was discovered as an abundant small nuclear RNA in the mid-70s but a possible function has only recently been suggested.
Source: Rfam by way of RNAcentral
AAUUGUGAGGGCGAUCUGGCUGUGACAUCUGUCACUCCAUUGAUCACCAGGGUUGAUUCGGCUGAUCUGGCUGGCUAGGCGGGUGUCCCCUUUCUCCCUCAUCGCUCCAUGUGCGUGCUCCUGAAGCUGCACGCUCAGUGGAAGAGGAUGACCAUCCCAGAUAGGAGUGUACCAAUCUUUGGUCAAGGGUAUACGAUAGCUACGCUCCUCUGCGAGAACCUCCAAACAAGCUCAAGGUCCUUUUGGCAAUCUUCUGACAAGCACAGUCAAUGGGGAAGCCAGAUUCACUUCACAGCCAUGUUACU